This 21-nucleotide non-coding RNA is filed under the name Arabidopsis thaliana (thale cress). Lineage: Eukaryota; Viridiplantae; Streptophyta; Magnoliopsida; Brassicales; Brassicaceae. The record is from RNAcentral.
UUGAUGAAUGACAAGUGUCUU